This is a long non-coding RNA of Chinchilla lanigera (long-tailed chinchilla), 1213 nucleotides long. RefSeq lists it as uncharacterized. The transcript is spliced from 2 exons. The record is from RefSeq and is a predicted model, not a curated record. NCBI's taxonomy places the organism in Eukaryota, Metazoa, Chordata, Mammalia, Rodentia, Chinchillidae.
AACUCGCAGCAAUCUUCCUGCCUCAGCCUCUGGAGUUCUGGGAUUACUGGCAUGUACCACCUCGCUCAGCAUGGAAGAUGUUUGGAAAGGCCAGAGAUACCUUUAAGAGAGCCCUACCCAAAGCCACCCGGACAGAGGAGCACAAGCUGGGUUUGCAGCCUGUGUGGCCAGAACCCUUUCCAACAGGCUCUGGGACAGAAUGCAUGUUCCUCACGGCCCCCAAGGGUGGCCAACGGCCCCGCCCAGCCGGAGCACACUGCUAAGCCCUAGGGAAGACUCAGGGGUAAGCAAGCCUUAGUUGCUUGUCUUUUAAAAAAAAAAAACAACAUAUUUAUAGAUUUGUUUUCACUUCAUCUCCUCAAAGAAAAACUUCAAAAUCAACUUUAAGCAGCUGGGAGGAGAAGGGGGAAGAAGGGAACGCUGUGGGUUCCCUCCAACCCAAGUGCCCCUGGAGGUCCUUGGGGCACAGGGUGUGUUGCUCAUCCUCAGCGAGCUGCAAAUUCAAGAUGAAUCAGAAACACAAAAUCAUACGGUGACUUGCAUGCGAGAUCCCUGGCCAGGAGCCCUGCCAAGCAGCAACAGAGAGGGCGUGGCAGGGAAGCAGGAAGCAGUUUCCCCAGCAGCCCGGGAAGGAAUGAGGAGCAGCUUUGUGACCACCACUCCCUCAAACCCAGGACUCUGGUACACAUGCUCCAGAACCCAAGUACCCGUAUGUCAGUGCCCUGCAGCUAGUGCUGCAUGCCCGGAGAAGGGACGGGACCAAACCACAGCCAGGCCUUGGACGGAGAGACCAGAGCAGAGGCCGGCGUGGUGCUGGAUUGGGCCGUGACAGACUUCCUCCCCGCGGAGCCCUCUGGAAUGCUUGGAACUCAGCGGUGACAGUCCAGAAGUUUCUCUUUCCCUGGAGGGCUCUGGCUUGGAGGGAAAGGUCUAGAUAAGGGCCUGAGCUUUAUCUUUCCUCCACCCCGCCUCUCCUGUCCCGAGGACUUCACGUACGCCAAGGGCGGAACAAUGACUCUGGGACGUUUGGCUACCCUGGUCAGCCUGCCCACUUCCUGUCCCUGUCCCUGCCCCGGGAUUAAGGAAAACAACUACUUCUUAUGUUUAGAUAGCUCUCGGCGGUACACAAUGGGUGCUCAUAAACGUGCCCUCGCUAAAAAUGUCUCCUCCCGCCCAAAAUAAAUACAUCAAAAUAAAAAUGUCUUCCCCCACG